CUGCGAGUGAAGCGGCAAAAGCUCAAAUUUGAAAUCUGGCGUCCUUCGGGCGUCCGAGUUGUAAUUUGGAGGAGCGUCUUCGGGAGCGGCACCGUCCUAAGUUCCGUGGAACCGGACGUCACAGAGGGUGAGAAUCCCGUGCCUGGACGGUCUGUCCGUUCCCAUGUGAAGUGCUUCCGACGAGUCGAGUUGUUUGGGAAUGCAGCUCAAAAUGGGUGGUAAAUUUCAUCUAAAGCUAAAUAUUGGCGAGAGACCGAUAGCGCACAAGUAGAGUGAUCGAAAGAUGAAAAGCACUUUGAAAAGAGAGUUAAAAAGUACGUGAAAUUGUUGAAAGGGAAGCGCUUGAGAUCAAACUCGGCCUUUGGCGAAGCUUUGAGUUCGCUCGGAGCCUCUUGCCUUUGGCCGGGCCAGCAUCGGUUUCGGCGGUGGGAGAAACGGUAGAGGAAUGUAGCUCUCUUCGGGGAGUGUUAUAGCCUCUGUCAAAUACCGCCAGUCGGGACCGAGGACCGCGCUUCAAGCUAGGAUGCUGGCGGAAUGGUCUUAAGCGACCCGUC
Molecule: ribosomal RNA, 554 nt
Filed under: Octospora splachnophila
Lineage: Eukaryota; Fungi; Ascomycota; Pezizomycetes; Pezizales; Pyronemataceae
Description: LSU rRNA
Rfam family: Eukaryotic large subunit ribosomal RNA
Source: RNAcentral